GCGGGUAUAGCCUAUCGGUCAGGCAGCAGCCUUCCAAGCUGUGCAGACAGGUUCGAUUCCUGUUGCCCGCUCCA
This 74-nucleotide transfer RNA is filed under the name Neisseria shayeganii. RNAcentral describes it as "tRNA-Gly". It matches the Rfam family "tRNA". Rfam says of the family: Transfer RNA (tRNA) molecules are approximately 80 nucleotides in length. The record is from RNAcentral. Lineage: Bacteria; Pseudomonadati; Pseudomonadota; Betaproteobacteria; Neisseriales; Neisseriaceae.